UCCCUGAUGGUCGAGUGGUUAAGAGUCUGUACUUCCAGUGCAGAAGACACAGAUUCAAUCCCUGGUCAGGAAA
Molecule: transfer RNA, 73 nt
Filed under: Bos taurus (domestic cattle)
Lineage: Eukaryota; Metazoa; Chordata; Mammalia; Artiodactyla; Bovidae
Also listed under: 1 other name
Rfam family: tRNA
About the family: Transfer RNA (tRNA) molecules are approximately 80 nucleotides in length.
Source: Rfam by way of RNAcentral